RNAcentral lists this ribosomal RNA (674 nucleotides) under uncultured bacterium. Its description in RNAcentral is "bacterial SSU rRNA". It matches the Rfam family "Bacterial small subunit ribosomal RNA", at positions 56 to 763 of the family's 1533-position model. The record is from RNAcentral.
UGCAGUCGAACGAGAAAGUGGAGCAAUCCAUGAGUACAGUGGCGUACGGGUGAGUAACACGUGGGUAAUCUACCUCUUAGUGGGGAAUAACUCUGGGAAACCGGAGCUAAUACCGCAUAAUCUCGAGAGAGGAAAGCAGCAAUGCGCUGAGAGAGGAGCCCGCGGCCGAUUAGCUAGUUGGCAGGGUAAAAGCCUACCAAGGCAGAGAUCGGUAGCCGGCCUGAGAGGGCACACGGCCACACUGGCACUGAAACACGGGCCAGACUCCUACGGGAGGCAGCAGUGGGGAAUCUUGCACAAUGGGGGAAACCCUGAUGCAGCGACGCCGCGUGAGCGAUGAAGCCCUUCGGGGUGUAAAGCUCUUUCGGCAGGGAAGAUGGUGACGGUACCUGCAGAAGCAGCUGCGGCUAACUACGUGCCAGCAGCCGCGGUAAUACGUAGGCAGCGAGCGUUGUUCGGAGUUACUGGGCGUAAAGGGUGUGUAGGCGGUUGUUUAAGUUUGGUGUGAAAUCUCCCGGCUCAACUGGGAGGGUGCGCCGAAUACUGAGCGACUAGAGUGCGGGAGAGGAAAGUGGAAUUCCUGGUGUAGCGGUGAAAUGCGUAGAUAUCAGGAGGAACACCGGUGGUGUAGACGGCUUUCUGGACCGUAACUGACGCUGAGACACGAAAGCGUG